This is a non-coding RNA of Anas platyrhynchos (mallard), 702 nucleotides long. The record is from RefSeq and is a predicted model, not a curated record. NCBI's taxonomy places the organism in Eukaryota, Metazoa, Chordata, Aves, Anseriformes, Anatidae.
CUUCUUGCUCCGUGGGCUGGGUGGUUGCUGUGCCAAGGGGUUUUUCUGUCUGCCUCUCUUCGCCCCUUUCUGAGAUUAAAGCCCAGCCCUUGAAGCUGUCCCUGCUUGGUGGCAUGAAAAAAAGCCUGCUUUUUCCAUUCCUCCUCCCAGCUGGGUGCUCUCCGUGAUGGGAGAGCCAUUUGGGGUGAGGGACCAGCCUGAUGAGCAGUCCCUUUUAAGCAACCCCAAUUUAUGCACCACUGAACAGCCGCGGGAGGUUUCCAGCAGCUCAUCCUCCAUCCACGAUGCCAGGAGCUGUGCUUUGGAGAUGGGACGUGGAGGUGAAAUAAGGAAAUCUGGCAUGGGAUGGGGAACAUCGCCUGGCUGCGCUCUGCGAGGCUGAGCGCUCCUCUCCUGGCACGGAGCGGCCGGGCAGAUCCACGGAGAGCGAGAUGCUGCAGGAGGGAUUAACCACAAAAAAGGUUGGGCAAAACAGCACUAGGGACCUCAAAAAUAACGAUGAUGAAGAAGAAGAGGCUUGGCACGGAGCUGUGGGAUCCCCCUAAAACCCAGCUCGUCCUCGUUUGGGACGCAGUGACAAGGACGGGCAGCGAGGGGCCGCGGGGCAGGUGCAGGGCGAUGUGACAUAUGUUAAACAGCCCCGAGGAGCCUUUCAAGCCUCCCUUGUUUAAGAAAUAAAAAAAAUAAAUAAAGAAAAAAAAA